RNAcentral lists this ribosomal RNA (440 nucleotides) under uncultured Anaeroplasma sp. Its description in RNAcentral is "partial 16S ribosomal RNA". It matches the Rfam family "Bacterial small subunit ribosomal RNA", at positions 341 to 792 of the family's 1533-position model. The record is from RNAcentral. Lineage: Bacteria; Bacillati; Mycoplasmatota; Mollicutes; Anaeroplasmatales; Anaeroplasmataceae.
ACGGGAGGCAGCAGUAGGUAAUUUUCGGCAAUGGGCGAAAGCCUGACCGAGCAACGCCGCGUGAACGAAGAAGUAUUUCGGUAUGUAAAGUUCUUUUAUUAGGGAAGAAAAGACAGAUUGACUGUACCUAAUGAAUAAGCUCCGGCUAACUACGUGCCAGCAGCCGCGGUAAUACGUAGGGAGCGAGCGUUAUCCGGAAUUAUUGGGCGUAAAGGGUGCGUAGAUGGCACAAAAAGUUUCUUGUAAAAGAUCUGGGCUCAACCCAGUAAAGCAAGAGAUACUGUUGAGCUAGAGUACGGAAGAGGCAAGUGGAACUCCAUGUGUAGCGGUAAAAUGCGUAAAUAUAUGGCAGAACACCAGUGGCGAAGGCGGCUUGCUAGCUCGAUACUGACAUUGAGGCACGAAAGCGUGGGGAGCAAACAGAAUUAGAUACCCUGGUA